Salmo salar (Atlantic salmon) is the source of this 3792-nucleotide RNA transcript. It is a transcript of the gene named polymerase (DNA directed), mu, with no coding region annotated. The record is from RefSeq and is a predicted model, not a curated record. NCBI's taxonomy places the organism in Eukaryota, Metazoa, Chordata, Actinopteri, Salmoniformes, Salmonidae.
UCUUAGAACGAGUCACAAAUUGCAGACAUCAGUGUAAUGCUGUUUAAUAUAUUAUGUUGAUGAUUCGUCUUGAAACAGCUGAAACUUGUUACAACAGUUUGGUCUACAUUUCUGUAUACUAGUUUUGCUCAAUUUGAAAUCAAAAUAAAUGUGUAUUGGUUUCUAUCUAGACAUUUGCCAUGCGGGUCAUUACAUGUGUUUAUCCUAAUAGAGAAGUGAUUAAUUGGACGUACAGGGAUAAAACCCCGCGAACUCUUAUGUUGACCACAUGGGCGCGUGGUGGGAAGAGCACUUCCUGUUUCCCCGUCGGAACUAUUUUUUGUGUUGCACUUGCUUCAGAAGGUGGUUGUCCAAAAUAGACUUGAUGAGACAUGUAAGUCAUCGUGGUAGCAAGACAGCAGCACACUUUUUCUUAUUUAACCUUUAUUUAACUAGGCAAGUCAGUUCUUAUUUACAAUGACGGCCUACCCCGGCCAAACCCGGACGACGCUGGGCCAAUUGUGCGCCGCCCUAUGGGACUCCCAAUCACGACCGGAUGUGAUACAGCCUGGAUUUGAACCAGGGACUGUAGUGACACCUCUUGCACUGAGAUGCAGUGCCUAGACAGCUGCGCCAGUCGGGAGCCCAAGAUACUAGUCACUAUCCGUACUACAGAUGAGCGAGUCUGCCAACAAAUAUGGUCCCUCUAAAGCGCAGGAAAGUGAACUGCUCCGUUACAAGUGACAGCAGCGGUGACAGGACCAGAAAGUUUCCCGGGGUUGUCAUCUUUCUCCUGGAGAGAAAGAUGGGAGCCAGUCGGAGAGCCUUCCUCACUCGGCUCGGACGGGGGAAAGGUUUCAACAUAGAAUACUCCUUAAGCCGUUCCAUCACUCAUAUUGUGUCCGAGAAUAAUUCUGGGGAGGAAGUCCGGACUUGGCUGGACCUCCAGACUGGAGGACAGGGGAGAGAAGGAGGAGAAGGCAGGACAGCCCGACCUGGUUCUGUCCAUCUCCUGGACAUCGUGUGGUACACAGAGAGCAUGCAUGCUGGCAUCCCCGUGGUUAUACUGGACAGACACAGACUACAGGAGAGAGAGAAGCCUGGUUUGGAGCUGGCAGUGGUCUCAGUACCCAGCUAUGCCUGUCAGAGACACACCCCUCUACUGCACCACAACACAAUACUGACCGAUGCGUUGUCCAUACUGGCUGAGAAUGCGGAGCUCAGUGAAAACGAGGGACGGGGAGUGGCGUUCCGUAGGGCGGCAGCCUUGUUGAAAUCCCUCCCCCAGGAGGUCAGAGGGGCAGAGCAACUACGAGGACUGCCUUGUCUGGGGGAGCACUCACUCAGAGUCAUCAAGGAGGUUCUGGAGGAUGGUGUAUCUCAUGAGGUGGAGACCACCAUGCAUUCAGAACAGUUUAAGGCCAUGAAGGCCCUAACAGGUAUUUUCGGGGUAGGGGCAAAGACAGCGGACCGUUGGUUCAGGGAGGGAAUACACAACCCCUCCAACCUGCAAAGAUCAGGACACACACUCAACAGAGCGCAACGAAUAGGUCUGAAGUAUUAUGACGAACUGAACCUGCCUGUCACGAAACCAGAGGCUGUUGCAAUUGGUCAGAUUGUGGAGAGGGCGGUCCAUGCUGUGCUCCCGGGUGCAGAGAUAACUCUGAUUGGAGGAUUCAGGAGAGGUAAGCAGACUGGUCAUGAUGUGGACUUCUUGAUAACCCACCCCGACGAGGGCAGAGAGGAGGGGCUCAUGCCUAAGGUGGUGUCCUGGCUUGAAGCACAGGGCUUCCUGUUGUACCAGAAGACCACCGGGAACUCUUAUCUGGAGAGCAAAGAGGGUCCUGCGAGGCCAGCCUCUAACAUGGACCGCUUUGAAAGAUGCUUCUCUAUCUUUAGACUGAGCACAGACAAUGAAGGGAGGGAGAUCCAGACGGGGGAUGGUCCACAGACAUACUCACCGACACUGACCAAUACAGAUCCACACACCCACUCAGACACUCACCCACACUCAAAAACGGACUCUCACCCACUUCCCCAGACCCUUGUGGUGGUGGGUGACCAUGCCCAGAAGGUGAGCAGGGUGCUGGGUCAUUCUCAGUGCUCAGGUCCCCGGUCCUGGAGGGCAGUGAGGGUAGACCUGGUGGUCUCUCCAUACAGCCAGUUUGCCUUCGCAUUACUGGGCUGGACUGGAUCGAAGGUACGGCCUAAACCUAACCCCCGACCUCUAACUUGUGAUCCUGUUAUAAGGCUUCAAGAUGCACCUCACCCCCCCCCACCAGCCUUCCAUGUGAAUCUUAGGCCUUAUCUCAUUUGGGGAAAAGUCUGUCCUCUGUCUUCUCUCCUCUGGAAACCAAUAAGUAGUCAAGGAGAGUGUACAUUUGUUAGUAGGAAGUGUGUCCUCCCCUCCUCGAUAGCCACCUUUCAUCGAGGAUAGUCAUGUGUAUCCUAUCGGAGUCCUUCCAGGAAGAGUUUUGAUCUGCUACACCCCCUUUGAAGCAGUUGUUUUCUCCAAGGAGAAAAGCAUGCAAACAUUUACAAACAAUAUGCUAAUUACUGUAAAAUGUUUUGCACAGCUAGCUACAUUUUGUUUGAUCACUUUACACGUUUAUUUUGGGAUUCCACCCCUGUAAAUGUCUUUUGCCUGAUGACGUGCGAGUGGAGCGCAUUUUCAACCAGCCUUCUCUUUCUCUCUCUCUCUGCAGUUGUUUGAGAGAGAGCUGCGUCGCUGGGCAGUACAUGAGAAGGCCAUGACUCUGAGCAGCCAUGCUCUGUACGACAGAAAACGGAUGCAGUAUCUAAGGGCUAGUUCAGAGGAGGAGAUCUUUGCUCAUCUGGGUCUGGAAUAUAUCCCUCCGUGUGACCGGAAUGCCUGACGACAACAUACUGGACUGAUAACAGACACAGUCUAAGAGCUAAGCUAAGCAAACCCAAGCUAACUUAAACCUAAACAUAAGCCACAUCAAACUAAGCCUUAUCCCGGAACAACACACAGGCCAGAUACAGCCCAGGGUAGACAAGAAGGGAGGGUGAGAGGUAGCUAGAUCGUUACAUAUCUGUAUUUUAUUAUAUUGUAAAUAAUAGAUAACAUACAGACCCAGGAUGUUGUAAAGUACCAAAUCUAUAGAUGUGUUUAAUUUAGUUAACUAAAUUAACUGCUCGAGCCAUUAAUUGUACAGAAUGUGCUUUUUUUUUCAUAUCUGACAUAUUAGCUCAUUUUUCUUUCAUUGGUGCCAUGUUAUUGAAUACGUUUUUAAUAUUUACUAGAAUUUGUCUGCUUGUUUGUGAUAUUUAGAAUGCAGUUAAUCUAUGUGAAUUAAAAUUGUAUCAAUAAUUUUAGACUUACCAAAAAGCUUUUAAAAUGUGACAUAAUGUAGGCCUAAAACUGUGUUCAUUCUGAGGGAAAGUGUUUAAUCUAUGCAUGCCGUCAUGCAGUGUGUGUGGUUUUGUUACAUUUUGCAUGAUGACAGCAGUGGCCUAUUUACACAGCAGGUGUACACUACACUACACACACACACACACCAUCCAUCCAACUCACAUUAUGUACAAAAUAAGUUUAAAAAAUGCCAAAAAACACACACAAUAGCAUAAUUGGUUAGGGGAUCGUAAAACAGCAGCCAUCUCCUCCGGUGCAUGUGACAAAUAUUACCUCUCAUGACAUGUCUGAGCAUAUAUAUAUAUAUGUUUAUACAUUGAUAUAUGUAUAUACAGUAUACCAUUUUAUAUAUUAUCAAUUUAUGCAUUGUGGUGGUUUCUGUGUGUACUCUUUUGUUUUUAUUUGACAGAAAUAAAACUCCCCUAUUAUUGAAUGAG